CAAGCCACGAGGAGCAAGCCAGAAAGAGCACCAGUUCCUGCCUCCAGUCUCCUGCUCUGUUUGACUUCCCUUUGUGAUUAACCUGGGAGGAGACAUAGAGAUAUGGUCACCGGGUAGCUCAGGACAAUUUGUUUUCAUUGACAUCUAGAGGCCCCUCACAGCUUGUGGAUUUUCACACCUGUUUCAAAUUGAGUGUGGAGAAUUCCCAGAACUUGCAGAGUAAAACAAGAAGUAAAAGAUGAAGAUGAUCUUUUAAAACCUGAACAAUUAACUACAACCAGACAGCUUUUGUUUAAAUCCCUUGCUGGAACCAUCAGCUUAUAAAGACAGGAGAAAGGGGCUGCUACACAAAUCCCUCAAGUCAGAUCAUCUCUGGCUCCCACCGAGUACCUCAGGAGUAGAACUAACUCAUGGAUAGCUGUAUCACCAAGGCCCACCCCAGUGUGGGUGACAGCUCACAAAGCUGGGAACCUGGAGCCCACGGCACAGCCUGCAGGCAGCUUCGGCAGGUUGGAGAGCGUCCUUUCCAAGUGACUCAAUUGGUCUAAACCCCUUCCCACCAGCUCAACUGGGCCCUGCUUCUUCCAAGUAGCUGAUCCAGUCUGAGAGUCCUCUUUGCAGCUUGGCUUGUGUGAUGAUUUGAAAGAAAAUGGACCCCAGAGGCGGUGGCACUAUUAGGAAGUGUGGCCUUGUUGGAGAAAGUGAGUC
Molecule: long non-coding RNA, 708 nt
Organism: Mesocricetus auratus (golden hamster)
Lineage: Eukaryota; Metazoa; Chordata; Mammalia; Rodentia; Cricetidae
Exons: 3
Source: RefSeq, a predicted model, not a curated record